AGAGUUUGUCCUGGCUCAGGAUGAACGCUGGCGGCGUGCCUAAUACAUGCAAGUCAAGCGAACGGACGAGAAGCUUGCUUCUCUGAUGUUAGCGGCGGACGGGUGAGUAACACGUGGAUAACCUACCUAUAAGACUGGGAUAACUUCGGGAAACCGGAGCUAAUACCGGAUAAUAUUUUGAACCGCAUGGUUCAAAAGUGAAAGACGGUCUUGCUGUCACUUAUAGAUGGAUCCGCGCUGCAUUAGCUAGUUGGUAAGGUAACGGCUUACCAAGGCAACGAUGCAUAGCCGACCUGAGAGGGUGAUCGGCCACACUGGAACUGAGACACGGUCCAGACUCCUACGGGAGGCAGCAGUAGGGAAUCUUCCGCAAUGGGCGAAAGCCUGACGGAGCAACGCCGCGUGAGUGAUGAAGGUCUUCGGAUCGUAAAACUCUGUUAUUAGGGAAGAACAUAUGUGUAAGUAACUGUGCACAUCUUGACGGUACCUAAUCAGAAAGCCACGGCUAACUACGUGCCAGCAGCCGCGGUAAUACGUAGGUGGCAAGCGUUAUCCGGAAUUAUUGGGCGUAAAGCGCGCGUAGGCGGUUUUUUAAGUCUGAUGUGAAAGCCCACGGCUCAACCGUGGAGGGUCAUUGGAAACUGGAAAACUUGAGUGCAGAAGAGGAAAGUGGAAUUCCAUGUGUAGCGGUGAAAUGCGCAGAGAUAUGGAGGAACACCAGUGGCGAAGGCGACUUUCUGGUCUGUAACUGACGCUGAUGUGCGAAAGCGUGGGGAUCAAACAGGAUUAGAUACCCUGGUAGUCC
Molecule: ribosomal RNA, 805 nt
Filed under: uncultured bacterium
Lineage: Bacteria
Description: bacterial SSU rRNA
Rfam family: Bacterial small subunit ribosomal RNA
Source: RNAcentral